This is a small nuclear RNA of Nannospalax galili (Upper Galilee mountains blind mole rat), 191 nucleotides long. Its record names the gene U2. It matches the Rfam family "U2 spliceosomal RNA". From Rfam's summary of the family: U2 is a small nuclear RNA (snRNA) component of the spliceosome (involved in pre-mRNA splicing). Complementary binding between U2 snRNA (in an area lying towards the 5' end but 3' to hairpin I) and the branchpoint sequence (BPS) of the intron results the bulging out of an unpaired adenosine, on the BPS, which initiates a nucleophilic attack at the intronic 5' splice site, thus starting the first of two transesterification reactions that mediate splicing. The record is from Ensembl. NCBI's taxonomy places the organism in Eukaryota, Metazoa, Chordata, Mammalia, Rodentia, Spalacidae.
AUUGUUUCUCAGCCUCUUGGCUAAUAUCAAGUAUAGUAUCUCUUCUUCUCAGUUUAAUACCUGACACAUCCUCUAUCCAAGGACAAUAUUGUAAAUAGAUAUUUGGAACUAGGAGAUGGAAUAGGAGCUUCCUCCAUCCACUCCAAGCAUCGACCCAGUAUUGCAUUACCUCCAAGAACAGCACACCCCUC